CCUCCCUUCCUGGGCUGGUCCUUCUGUGCUAAGCUGGCCCGGGGCCAGGCUGCUCCCCGAGAGAUGUACAAGCCACUGGGGCUUGUGCUCAGUGACAUUCACAAAGAUUUAAAAAAAAAAAACUACCAGCUUUGUGGGGGACUGGGCUGACCUCCCACUUCCUGAAUUGAUCACGAUUUUCGCUUUCCAGACAUCCUCUUCCUGAAAUGGAUGAGUGUUCCACCCCACAGCAGCAAACAUUAGCAGUAUCGGGAGUACUGGGGGUAGAACCCAGAGACUUGAACACACUCAGUCAUCAAGCAGCACUUCAUUUAAAGACAAGAGUGAGUUGAAGCUGUUAUUUGUAACCUCAGCCAUGCCUCAGAACGAUGAGAAGAAUCAGAAGUGCUGACAGCUUGGGAUGCAAGCUAGUAUUGGAAGAGUUUAUAAAUGGUAACAUUGAACAUCCAGUGGCAGGGGUUGGAGAUUCAUCGGUGACUCUGAAGAAUCAUUUGGUCCAAUGGUUUUGUAGCUUCAUUGCCAGAUCUAAUAACCCCCUUUGAGGGCAGGACCCCAUCUCUACUCUGCAAACCUUUCCCCAGUCUAUGGUGUCAAUGAGCAUCAAGUUUUCAUUAAUAAAAAACAGAAGAAACCAUCAACUCUAUCAGAGGUUGCUGAAGAAAAGGUGACAUUCAGUGUAAGCAGCAUUGAGAAUCUGAACACUGGGCUAUUCCUGUCACCCUGGGGAGCCAGGCAACCUCCAGGGUAGCACCAGAGCUAGUGAGAGCUCACGGCCUAUGGACUGACAGCUGGAAAACCUGUACAGGAAACUAGACCCUCUGAUUGUGGGUG
RNAcentral lists this long non-coding RNA (831 nucleotides) under Cricetulus griseus (Chinese hamster). Its description in RNAcentral is "lncRNA (ENSCGRG00015024363.2)". The record is from RNAcentral. Lineage: Eukaryota; Metazoa; Chordata; Mammalia; Rodentia; Cricetidae.